GCAUCAGUAGUUUAGUGGUAAAACCCAUCAUUGAUACUACUUGGUCGUCGAUGAACCCGUGUUCGAUUCACGGCUGAUGCA
This is a non-coding RNA of Hypoxylon fuscum, 81 nucleotides long. The record is from the annotation of a GenBank genome assembly. NCBI's taxonomy places the organism in Eukaryota, Fungi, Ascomycota, Sordariomycetes, Xylariales, Hypoxylaceae.